UACGAAGGGGACUAGCGUUGUUCGGAAUUACUGGGCGUAAAGCGCACGUAGGCGGAUUUGUAAGUCAGGGGUGAAAUCCUGGAGCUCAACUCCAGAACUGCCUUCGAUACUGGCGAUCUUGAGUCCGGAAGAGGUGAGUGGAACUCCUAGUGUAGAGGUGGAAUUCGUAGAUAUUAGGAAGAACACCAGUGGCGAAGGCGGCUCACUGGUCCGGUACUGACGCUGAGGUGCGAAAGCGUGGGGAGCAAACAGG
This 253-nucleotide ribosomal RNA is filed under the name uncultured bacterium. RNAcentral's name for it is "partial 16S ribosomal RNA". It matches the Rfam family "Bacterial small subunit ribosomal RNA", at positions 524 to 776 of the family's 1533-position model. The record is from RNAcentral.